GUCUGGAUAGUUUAUUUAGAAUAAUAAUUUGUGGUGUUAUUGGUGUAGGUUAUACUCUAGAUC
RNAcentral lists this transfer RNA (63 nucleotides) under Gralliclava horrens. RNAcentral describes it as "tRNA-His". The record is from RNAcentral. Lineage: Eukaryota; Metazoa; Arthropoda; Insecta; Hemiptera; Coreidae.